Molecule: ribosomal RNA, 366 nt
Filed under: Bifidobacterium myosotis
Lineage: Bacteria; Bacillati; Actinomycetota; Actinomycetes; Bifidobacteriales; Bifidobacteriaceae
Description: bacterial SSU rRNA
Rfam family: Bacterial small subunit ribosomal RNA
Source: RNAcentral
GAUGACGUCAGAUCAUCAUGCCCCUUACGUCCAGGGCUUCACGCAUGCUACAAUGGCCGGUACAACGGGAUGCGACACCGUGAGGUGGAGCGGAUCCCUGAAAACCGGUCUCAGUUCGGAUCGGAGCCUGCAACCCGGCUCCGUGAAGGCGGAGUCGCUAGUAAUCGCGGAUCAGCAACGCCGCGGUGAAUGCGUUCCCGGGCCUUGUACACACCGCCCGUCAAGUCAUGAAAGUGGGUAGCACCCGAAGCCGGUGGCCUAACCUUUGUGGGGGGAGCCGUCUAAGGUGAGACUCGUGAUUGGGACUAAGUCGUAACAAGGUAGCCGUACCGGAAGGUGCGGCUGGAUCACCUCCUUUCUACGGAG